This is a long non-coding RNA of Rattus norvegicus (Norway rat), 412 nucleotides long. RefSeq lists it as uncharacterized. The record is from RefSeq and is a predicted model, not a curated record. NCBI's taxonomy places the organism in Eukaryota, Metazoa, Chordata, Mammalia, Rodentia, Muridae.
GCCUGAGGUCAGAGGUGCAGAGGCCGGGUGGCUAAGAGAGCUGGUUCCAGAUGACGCCUGGCACCUGGCAGGAGGGAGGCAGCUCCCAGGGUCAGUUGCAACCAGAGUUCCCUCGGCCAUCCCUGCAGUCACAGGGCAGAAGGCAAUACCCUCCCAGGCAGGCCGAAAUGUAGCUCUCUCAGCUACCUUUCCAGCACCAUGUCUGCCGUCCACUGCCAUGCUUCCUGCCAUGAAGACAAUGGACUGAACCUCUGAACUGGAAUUGGAUUUUCUGACCCAUUAACCAAGCACAGAGUCUGGCAGAUGGAAGGCUCUCGAAGCGGAUGGAUACAAGCUAAUCCUGUGACUCCAGACAUUUUUCAUUACGAGACUUCUCCCAUAAAGCAGGGCACACAUCUUCACCUGAUAGAAA